UUUAAAAUUCUGAAUUUUAUUUUCUAUUUUAUGUGUAUACCUUGCAUACAUAUGGGCUACUAACUCACACUCUUUGUUUACUUUAAUACGAUUUUUUUUUCUUUUGGUUUAAAAAGUAAAAAAACAAUUAUGAAUAUUUAUCUUCCUUUUGUAGUGCCAUCACUAAAACCUAUAUUUCAUCUAAUGUUGGUGACAGCAUAGCAGUAUCAUAUGGUUUUGAAACCAUUUACAUUCAGUGAUCAUGUGCAAGAGCAUGGAACAAUCCUAGACUAGUACCAUCCUAGGAUUUUUCAUUCUAGGCCCAAAAUCAACACCAAAACCCUUCCAAUGUAUUGGAUUGCAAUUGCAAAUAAAGUGGAGAGAAAUAUAGCCCUGAUGAGCUUCUCCAUACAUUGUAGAUUCUAUUAUUUUUAUUUAUUUAUUACAUUUCCAGCUGAAACCUGAGGUUGACAAAUUCUUCUGAUUUUAACACUCUUUUUUUGCUUUUGCUGGGGGCUGCUGGGCCGCAAUGGAUCACAUCAAUCAGCUGAGCGAUCAAGAGGAUCUUAUUGUAUGGAUGCGUACUGCAGCACUCCCUAGCUUCCGAAAGUUAUAUGGAAGAAUUGAAGAGGAUAUAGAUGCAGAUGAUGUUAUUGUUGUUCACCUCAGUAACAACUACAACACGUACAGUUUUGGUGGGAAGAAAAAGCUUGUUCUUUCCACAUCCUCUUGGUUGGGAGGAAAGAAUAACUUCCUUGGGAUAGCAUACAUUUUUGUUGGUUCUUCCUGUAUAUUCACGUCAAUUGUCUUCAUGUUGCUUCAUGUGAAAAACCCGAGGUAAAACUUCAUAUGUCCAGUAUGAAUGAUUGAAUUCCUCCCUUAUUCGUCUUUUGUUGCAUGAAAUUUAAAUACCAUAAAGAAAGUGCUGUUGACUAAUGUAAAAGGAACUUUAUAGGAAUGAGGACUCCCCCUCACCAGUGCCUAAGUUCUUAUUAGGUUAUUUGAUUGGGUGAAUUUUCAAAUGGCAAGCAUGGUCCACGAUGCAUUGUUAAUAGGGCUGUAACUUGGACUGGUUAAGGGUUAUUUGAUUGAAGCUCAACUUAAAUUAAAAAACAAUCAAUCUAUGUUCAACUCGAUCCGAAAGCUUAAUCGAACUUCAUUUUUCAAAACUAAGCUUGAGUCUGGAUUGAUUAAAUUAGACUUGGAUUUAUAGGAUUGUAUGAUUUGGAAUCCAUUUAUAAUGUUUUUUUUUUUUAAUUUUUUUUAAUUAUAUUUAUAUUCAAAUUUAAAUAAUAAAUGAGACAAAAUUUAAUAAAAUAGUAAAAAUAAAUUUAUAUAUAUUUUAAAAAAUAAAAAUAGGGUAAAAUAUUUGAAAAUAAUUAUAAUAUUAUUAAUUUGUAAGGGUUAAUUUCAUUGUCUCCCAUGAUAUUGAAAUAAAUAUAUUUAAUUUCUAUUAGUUUGAAAUUUCUUGAAGGCAUACCUACCCUUCUUAUUUGUUAUACCUCCCUUUUAAUUUAAAAUUAGGAAACUGAUUAAAUAUAUUUAAUCCAAAUUUUAUAGGAGUUGAGUGAAAUUUAUCUUAAUUUGUGAUGAAUUAUUAUUAUUUUAUUAUUUUCAUUUCUUAUUUUUUAAAAAUAAAAAUAAUUAUUAUUUAGCAUACUAUGAUUUGAAUAUUAUUUGAAUGGAUGCAUUAAUAUUUUUAAAUUUCACUUCUUAAUAUUAUAUAAAAAAAACAUUCUAAUUAAAUACUGUUAUAUUAUUUAAACAUUGUUAAAAGCUGCUUGAAGUGAUUAUUGUAAAAAUGCUUUUGAUCAUUUGAAUUAUACUAACAAAUAUUAGAGUUUAUUUAAAAAAUUUAUCAUUGAUCCCCGACAUUGUUGGACUCUUCUUCUUUUCUUUUUCGGAUUUUGUUUUUCUCAAUCUAGACAAAAAUGCAUAUGAUAAUAGAAAAAUAGAUAUAAAUUUUAGAAUUAAUACAUUUUUUUUCCCACAAAAAGAUAAUUAAUUUGAAAAUAAUUAAAUUUAAUAUUUUAUCCUAAAAAUAUUUUUGUAUCCAUCAAAUUAAUCUUUGCAUCCAUCCUAUUUACGCAUCUACUUAAAAAUAAUAAUUUUAUUAAUACAUUCACUUACAAUUUUAAAAGUAUUUAAAACAUCCUUCCAUUAUUCUUUUCCAUACUCUUCUUCUUCUCCUUCUUCCUUCUAUUUGCAACUAAUUUUCAACUACAAAUUAGAAGAAAAAAAUUAUGUUCUUUGAAGCUCAUUUGAUAAAAAAAAGGUAUUCGAAGUAUGUUCAUAGCCAAUUUUAUUUAUUUAUUUAUUUUUAUACAUUUUGUUUGAAUCCAUAUAAUAUAUCACAAAAAGAUCUUUUAAGAUUUAUUGUUUUGUCAUUUUUAACAUAAAACUUGUCGUAAAAAUAGUUGAAAAACAGUUAGGAGAAGUUUAGAAAUGAUUUUAAAGUAAGAAAUUAUGAAAAAGUGUGAUAGAAAUGGUUAAAAAAAAAAAAAAAAACCAUUCCAUAGUCAUUGGACUUGAAAGGUCAAAUAGUGUGGAAAGGUGUGGACCAAAAGUCUAGGUAUCGAAAAAAUGUUAAUAAAAAUAUUUAGACAUAAUAAAAAUAUUCUGACAUAUAAAGUAAGAUAAUUUGAUUAAUUUCAAUUAUUUGGCAAAUGAUACAUCCGAAACUAUUAGAUAUUUAUAAAAUACCCAACUUAUAAUGAACACCAUUUCCAAGGCAUUUUUCAAUUUUAACAAAUGUGAAAUACAAAAAUUAUUAUAAAACAGAUGAAUUUUAGUACUUUCAUUGCAGAUAAAGUUAUUUUCUUUAUCGAUGGAUGAGAAACACAACUUUCUUGAUCAAUUUUAUUAGGAUAAUAGAGAAAUUAGAAGAGAAGUUACAAAAGAAGAAAAGAGUAGUUUAAAGGACAAUUUUAUCCUAAAAACUUAUUAAAAGGGUGGACGAAAAAGACUAGCUUUAUGGAUACAAAUAUAAUUUCCCACUUCUGACACAUAUUUUUUGGCAUUAGCUUACAUUUUAGGGGUAUCCUCCCAUACUCAUGCAGUCCACAAGACCUGGUCAAACCAUUAAUUAAUGGUCUAUAUUUCGAAGAACCCCACGAGAUCUUUCUCUCCAGUUCCCCCUAUAUCACAUCAGCCAGCCUCUUCUCCUCCCAUCUCUCGAUCUGUUAAAAUCUUUGUAUAUAGAAACCAAUUAACAGAAGCUUUUUCUUCCAACAGGAAUGGAAAAAUAAGAGAGAUACAUGAAAAAUUGGGCUGAGAUUGCACCAGCCCUUCUCGUGUCUCUCCAAAAGUCUUCCAAUCCUCCUCCUAAGUUAGAGACCAUUGAAGAAGAGGGUGGUUCUCGAAGCUUGGAAACCAUGCACAAGCGCACAACGUUUCUUCUUCCUUUGAUAGUCUCCAUGGUUUUCUAUUUUUUGUUAUACAAAGAAGUGAAUUGGUGUAGAAAAUUUUUCCAUGAGAGGUGAGAAAGCUCUAUUUACUAUUUAGCUACUUGAAGGUUGGAGAUGGAGAAUGUUAAUAAUCAAUACCUAAAUCCUCAAGGUGAUCUUAUCCCAUUUAUUGUAACCAAUAUUAUGAAUUUUGUUUCAAAAGUAUUUUUCAAGAAUUUUACCAUUAUACCUUUUGCCCCCUCUUGUCCUCCCUCUUUAAAGGUCAUAUGGUUCGAUGGUAUUAAGAUGACGUUUGAUGAAACCUAAUAUUUAAUAUGUAAAAUUAAAUUAUACUGAGUUUAUAAGGUCAUCUUAAGUUAUUAAGUUGAUUUGUUAAAGUCAUUUUUAAUUUUAAAUUAUAGAAUUAAGGUAUUUUGUUAAAUAUGUUUAAUUUACUUUGAUUGUAUUUUGUUAUUGAAAAGUAUUAGGGGAAAAAUAUUAAGGAACAUAAUUUUCUUAUAAUUAGUUUUGUUAUGAAAAAUACAAAACAAAAAAGAAAAAUAGUUAAAAUUUCAUGUAUUUUUAAAUUAUUUAAUUUUUAUAUAAAAGAGGAAAAAUAAGUAAAACUAUUAAAAUAAUUUAUUAACUUUUAAAUCUAUUUUUUAUUAUUUAUCUUCACUUUUUUUUUUCUCUCUAAUUUUUCUUUCUAUUGUCUUUCCCUUUCCUUUUCCCAUAAAUUUUCUAAGAACUAUAUAUAGUUUUAUAGACAAAAUAGGAUAUGAGAGGAUGUAUAUAUCCUAAAAUAUCAUAUCUAAUUGAAUCAUUGAAUAUAAAAUACAUAUCUUAAGAUAUAAUUUUUAAUGAGAUACGAUAUUAUAAAUUAGCAUAUUCAAUGAGAUAUGUUAUAUUGUAUUUAUUUUUUUUAAAAAAAUAUUAUAUAUAUAUAUAUAUAUAUAUAUAUAUAUAUAUAUUAUUUUUCAAAGUUUAAAAUAUUAAUUAUAUUAUAUUUCAAUUUUUUUAUUUAAAAAAAAUGAAAUUUCUCUUACAUUUAACAAUAUUCACGAUUUAAAAUAUUUAAACUUUAUAGUAUGUUAUUCAAAAUAAUAUAUAUAUAUAUAUAUAUAUAUAUAUAUAUAUAUAUAUAUAUAUAUAUAUAUAUAUAUAUAUAUAUAUGUAACAAGUAUUAAAGUGUGUUUAAUAAUGAUUCUAAAAAGUGUUUCUAACUUAUAUUACUUGAAAAUUUUCAUCAUUUAAGUAUUAAAAAAAUAUUAAAAACACUUCUUAUAAUCAUUACUAAACGUACUCUUAAUCUUGUUCUAUAAUAUAUUUAAUAAAUAUUUUUUUUAGUUGUUCUUUUUUAAUCAUAAAUUUAAUUUUAUAAUAAAAAACUUUUAUUUUACAAACAAGUAAUAUAGAAAAAAAAAAUUGAAAAAAAAAUAAAUUUAUAAUACAUAAGAUAUUUAUGUUCUAUAUGUGAAAAUGAUAUAAAAAAGAGGAUGAAUGAUAUAUCACAUCACUUAUCUUAUCGUAUUUGAUUGAAUAUAAGAUAAAAUAAGUGAUGAGAUAACCUAUCCUAUCUCAUCACCAACCAAAUAUGAAAUAUGAUAUAAUAUUCUCUUUUUUAUAAUAUUUCAUACUAUAUUCAAUCAAUCAAAUAUGAUUUUAAUGAUCCUAUACUUAAAAAAUAUUUUUGAAGAAAAAUAAGAUGUUUGGAAAAAUUUAGGAUAUACUUUAAAAAAUUUGAAAAUUUAGUUGUAAUCUUGAAAAAUCUUUAGAUUUCUUAUUCUUGUUGUCUUCUCGGCACAAGCAUGAACUAAUAUUCUAACCCAUGAUUUUUCAUUGGAGAGGAGAAAUAAAUUCUAACAAUUGUUUUAUCAACAAAGCUUAUUUACCUACUUGGAAUUGGAAUACCUCUGCAUCCUAAUACAUCAUUGCCUCACACCUCAAACAGAUGGGGCUUUUGUUCACUUUCUAAGUCCAAUCUUUCCUUCUUUCAAUGCAAACAAAGAAGGUAAAAAAAAGAAAAAAAAUCAAACUAGAAGAAACUGAACUCUGGGCAUUCCAACUUCUCUUUACAUUCCUACCGAGAAAGAGGGAGAGCAGAGCAUGUCUUACAUGCAAUUCAACCUGAAGACAAACAAGUCCCACACCCAACUUCACCCUCAAAUUCUUGUGAUUCACCACCCACCUCAUGGCCUCUGGCAUUUCUGUUCUCUGCGGGCAAUUCAAUGUUGACACGCCCUCCACUUUCAGUCCCCUAAUACAAUUACUUUCACCAUAACAUCAAACCAGUCAUUUCAUCAAACACCAUUUCUAUACAACAACAAAAAAGACACUAAAGAAACAAGCACUGGAAGAAGAAACAACACCACCACCACCCUUGUCUUCAGAUCAUCCAAUCCCUCCGACCCUUCUUCCAAAAUGGUCUCUAACUUUGGACAAUUUGAAGAUCUCACCGGACAUAUCAACAGGGACGGUGCCACUUCCACCCAAUUCUCCACACAUCUCAUUCUCAGCUGCUUUGCCAUCUCAGCUAGUUUGAUCUUCAAGACCCUCUUGCAGAGAAAUAAUGGAGUUGGUAUAGAGAAAAUGGUGAUUUAAAGAUUACUGAGUGGUGACGGGCUUAUGGUGGGUGGCCUAAAUUUAUAGGAGAGGUGGUUGGGCAAUGGGCGAUAGAAAGUAGGCCACGUGAGUAACAUUUGAAAAUGUCUCGUAGCAGAUCACUAUACGGGUUGUUCAAGGGACAGCAGAGCAACAGAAUUGCAACUUCACGUGGCCCAAAGAAGGAGCGCACGUGGAUGGGGUGGUGCACGGGGUUUGGUCACAGCCUCACUGGUCUAUUUGGGAAGACACC
Molecule: long non-coding RNA, 6219 nt
Filed under: Vitis vinifera (wine grape)
Lineage: Eukaryota; Viridiplantae; Streptophyta; Magnoliopsida; Vitales; Vitaceae
Description: long non-coding RNA (VVIN_LNC003168)
Source: RNAcentral